GGAUUGCAGUCUGCAACUCGACUGCAUGAAGCCGGAAUCGCUAGUAAUCGCGGAUCAGAAUGCCGCGGUGAAUACGUUCCCGGGUCUUGUACACACCGCCCGUCACACCAUGGGAGUCGGAAAUGCCCGAAGCCGGUGGCCUAACCGAUAAGGGAGGAGCCGUCGAAGGCAGGUCUGAUGACUGGGGUGAAGUCGUAACAAGGUACC
Molecule: ribosomal RNA, 207 nt
Filed under: uncultured bacterium
Lineage: Bacteria
Description: partial 16S ribosomal RNA
Rfam family: Bacterial small subunit ribosomal RNA
Source: RNAcentral